RNAcentral lists this small RNA (154 nucleotides) under Chromohalobacter canadensis. RNAcentral's name for it is "PrrF RNA". Lineage: Bacteria; Pseudomonadati; Pseudomonadota; Gammaproteobacteria; Oceanospirillales; Halomonadaceae. The record is from RNAcentral.
UUGACGACUCAAAUGAGAAUGGUUUACCUUAACAACCGUGGCGCCGCCAAGCGCCACUGACCUAAGCAGCGAAUGUCAGGUUCCUGCCCAUGGUUAUCUCCUCAUCAAGCUAGUCACGGUCUUUAAGCCGCCCACCCGGGCGGCUUUUUUUAUG